This 490-nucleotide ribosomal RNA is filed under the name uncultured bacterium. RNAcentral describes it as "partial 16S ribosomal RNA". It matches the Rfam family "Bacterial small subunit ribosomal RNA", at positions 28 to 507 of the family's 1533-position model. The record is from RNAcentral.
GAUGAACGCUAGCUACAGGCUUAACACAUGCAAGUCGCGGGGCAGCAUGGGGGUUGCUUGCCAUCCCCGAUGGCGACCGGCGCACGGGUGAGUAACGCGUAUCCAACCUGCCCUUCACCACGGGAUAACCCGGCGAAAGUCGGACUAAUACCGUAUGUUGUCCAUUGACGGCAUCCGAUUUGGACGAAAGGCUUGGCGGUGAGGGAUGGGGAUGCGUCCGAUUAGCCAGACGGCGGGGUAACGGCCCACCGUGGCUACGAUCGGUAGGGGUUCUGAGAGGAAGGUCCCCCACACUGGAACUGAGACACGGUCCAGACUCCUACGGGAGGCAGCAGUGAGGAAUAUUGGUCAAUGGGCGUAAGCCUGAACCAGCCAAGUAGCGUGCAGGAGGACGGCCCUAUGGGUUGUAAACUGCUUUUAUGCGGGGAUAAAGUGGCCCACGUGUGGGCUUUUGCAGGUACCGCAUGAAUAAGGACCGGCUAAUUCCGUG